GAUCAUGGCUCAGGACGAACGCUGGCGGCACGCUUAACACAUGCAAGUCGAACGAGAGAAGAGAAGCUUGCUUUUCUGAUCUAGUGGCGGACGGGUGAGUAACACGUGAGCAAUCUGCCUUUCAGAGGGGGAUACCGAUUGGAAACGAUCGUUAAUACCGCAUAAUAUAAUUGAACCGCAUGAUUUGAUUAUCAAGGAUUUUAAUCGCUUGAAAGAUGAGCCUCGCGUCG
Molecule: ribosomal RNA, 230 nt
Filed under: uncultured bacterium
Lineage: Bacteria
Description: partial 16S ribosomal RNA
Rfam family: Bacterial small subunit ribosomal RNA
Source: RNAcentral